This 414-nucleotide ribosomal RNA is filed under the name uncultured microorganism. Its description in RNAcentral is "bacterial SSU rRNA". It matches the Rfam family "Bacterial small subunit ribosomal RNA", at positions 9 to 416 of the family's 1533-position model. The record is from RNAcentral.
GAGUUUGAUCUUGGCUCAGAGUGAACGCUGGCGGUAGGCCUAACACAUGCAAGUCGAACGGCAGCACAGUAAGAGCUUGCUCUUAUGGGUGGCGAGUGGCGGACGGGUGAGGAAUACAUCGGAAUCUACUUUUUCGUGGGGGAUAACGUAGGGGAAACUUACGCUAAUACCGCAUACGACCUACGGGUGAAAGCAGGGGAUCUUCGGACCUUGCGCGAUUGAAUGAGCCGAUGUCGGAUUAGCUAGUUGGCGGGGUAAAGGCCCACCAAGGCGACGAUCCGUAGCUGGUCUGAGAGGAUGAUCAGCCACACUGGAACUGAGACACGGUCCAGACUCCUACGGGAGGCAGCAGUGGGGAAUAUUGGACAAUGGGCGCAAGCCUGAUCCAGCCAUACCGCGUGGGUGAAGAGGCCU